RNAcentral lists this ribosomal RNA (204 nucleotides) under Triticum aestivum (bread wheat). Its description in RNAcentral is "partial small subunit ribosomal RNA". The record is from RNAcentral. Lineage: Eukaryota; Viridiplantae; Streptophyta; Magnoliopsida; Poales; Poaceae.
GCAACAGUUGAAAGAGCCUUCUCAUCAAUGAAAAUCAUCAAGACUGAGUUGCGCAGCAAGAUGUCUGAUGGCUGGCUUAAUGACUUGAUGGUGUGUUACAUUGAGCGAGCGAUCUUCAAAAGUAUUGAUCUUGAUAAAAUUAAGGAAGAUUUUCAGAAGGAAGGUAGGGCACUGCCAUUGCCUGGGUCUUCUACACGCCAUUAA